Molecule: non-coding RNA, 45 nt
Filed under: Schistosoma haematobium
Lineage: Eukaryota; Metazoa; Platyhelminthes; Trematoda; Strigeidida; Schistosomatidae
Source: RNAcentral
AUCCAGCUGACGUGUCCCGAAUAGGACGAAACAUGCGUCCAGGAU